Molecule: long non-coding RNA, 268 nt
Filed under: Linum usitatissimum (flax)
Lineage: Eukaryota; Viridiplantae; Streptophyta; Magnoliopsida; Malpighiales; Linaceae
Description: long non-coding RNA (LUSI_LNC000702)
Source: RNAcentral
UAUUUGUAAUUGAUGGCUGCAUUGUUGUUUUCAUAGUGGAAAUAUGUUUUCUUUUGGUUUGGCACCGGAAGUUCAGAGCUUCUUUGCCUACAAGUAUGAUCUAUUAAUGUACUUUGGGGAUGUUUGUGUUUUGGUAGCAGUUGGUCAGAACGGUUUUGGGGAAGGCAAGUCAGAUGAAGAUGCUAAGGAGCAUGUUGAUGAGCAAAAUGGUAAGACUGAUGAACUGCCGGAAGAGAGUGAUCCUCGACCUGCUUCUGAGGGUGCUCAA